RNAcentral lists this ribosomal RNA (274 nucleotides) under uncultured bacterium. Its description in RNAcentral is "partial 16S ribosomal RNA". It matches the Rfam family "Bacterial small subunit ribosomal RNA", at positions 523 to 796 of the family's 1533-position model. The record is from RNAcentral.
AUACGGAGGGUGCAAGCGUUACUCGGAAUCACUGGGCGUAAAGCGCGCGCAGGCGGGCUGAUAAGUUGGAUGUGAAAGCCUACGGCUCAACCGUAGAACUGCAUCCAAAACUGUCAGUCUCGAGUCUGGGAGGGGAAGAUGGAAUUAGUUGUGUAGGGGUAAAAUCCGUAGAGAUAACUAGGAAUACCAAAAGCGAAGGCGAUCUUCUGGAACAGUACUGACGCUGAGGCGCGGAAGCGUGGGGAGCAAACAGGAUUAGAAACCCUAGUAGUCC